This is a long non-coding RNA of Phyllostomus hastatus (greater spear-nosed bat), 873 nucleotides long. RefSeq lists it as uncharacterized. The transcript is spliced from 3 exons. The record is from RefSeq and is a predicted model, not a curated record. NCBI's taxonomy places the organism in Eukaryota, Metazoa, Chordata, Mammalia, Chiroptera, Phyllostomidae.
ACCACAUGAAGAUCCAGCAAGAAAGUGACCAUCUGCAAACUAAAGAGGCCUCAGAAUACAUCAAAACAGAUGACACCUUGAUCUUGGAAUUCCAGCAUCCAGAAUUAUAAGAACACAGGUCAAGAAAGUAUAAAGAAGUCAUUCAGGUCCUACAGCUAUCUAUGUGAAGAACUAGAAUUAAAAUGAUCGACUUCUGUGACCAGUAGGAUAUUAUGGAAAUGACAUUGCUCUGAAGAUAUUUUUAAUCGACUGUGAUUGAUUAACUUCUAUGAAGGCUAGAGCCACCUGGGUUGCACCUGUUGCUUCUGUUGGGAAAGGUAUAAAUUACCUCUACUAUUUUAUUUGGAUAUAAAGGCAAUAUUUUAAAUAGGUUUUCUUUAAAACAAAGUAUUUUAAAGAUGAAACAAAUACAGUUGUCUAUAUGGGGGAUAACAUUUUAACAAGUAUCUAAGCACAACAGGAUCAAAAAGAACUGUUGGAGUUGGCCGUCUUUAGAGAAUUUACUGAGAAAGGAAUGCCUUUUAUUCCUACUUGCUUGUAUUUUUAAUUGAAAAUAAUUUCAAACUUACAGAUAAGUUGAAAAAUAAAACAUGAACACCUGUGUACCUUUUAUCUAAAUUCACCCAUUAAGAUUUUGUCUCUUUUGCUUUAUUAUGUAUGCUUCUCUGUGCUCUCUCAAUGCUUGCAUCUGUAAGUACUGUGUAUAUAUAUACAUGUACUUGUGUAUGUAUUACUUUGGGAAAAGUCCAGCCAUUAUUAAUAUAAUGUGAAUGGUUUGCACAACAUUGAUGUAACCUGGCAGGCAAGGAUAGUGGAUUGGAAUGCGCGUGCAUGAACAAUGAUGACUUCCCUGUACUACUCAGUGGGAGCAGU